RNAcentral lists this long non-coding RNA (538 nucleotides) under Cricetulus griseus (Chinese hamster). RNAcentral's name for it is "lncRNA (ENSCGRG00015018246.2)". Lineage: Eukaryota; Metazoa; Chordata; Mammalia; Rodentia; Cricetidae. The record is from RNAcentral.
GUACAAUUAAGUCAGGCCUAACUCACUCUCUAUCCUGAAUAGCUUUUUUUUUUUCCCCUGGAUUCCUGAUUGCUUUGCUUAUUUUCAGAUUUAGUGACUCAAUUCAACUUUUAAAGUCCCAGUUAAAGUUUAGUGCUGGGGCACAGAUAAAAUUCUGAAAAAAGCUACUCUACUAAUAACAGGAACAUGGAUGAAGAGCUGCUUGAAGGAGUAUGGGCAGCUAAGAUCUCCUCAUCUUCAUGAUUAUUAUCUUCUCACUUCUUUGGAGCAGGAAGAUCAUGAGAAACCUUCUCUACAGUUUCAUACUAUGCCUGAUGUGUACCACUCUCCUCCCCCAGUGGAAAGGAGGAUGGACAAGACAAUGAACAUGUAUUGUUAUCUCCCCAGGAAUGUAACUUCUCAGCCACUGCUCCAGAACUAUGCCUGCCUGCCUGCCUGCCUUCUGCCUGCUUCCAUGUUCCCCACCAUGAUGGGCAUGGACUCUAAUCCUCAAAGUCCCCCUCCCUUCUCUCCUCCCAAUACCCCCACUUGCUCCCCU